CUGACCUCAAAUCAGGUAGGACUACCCGCUGAACUUAAGCAUAUCAAUAAGCGGAGGAAAAGAAACUAACAAGGAUUCCCCUAGUAGCGGCGAGCGAAGCGGGAAGAGCUCAAAUUUGAAAUCUGGCGUCCUCAGGGCGUCCGAGUUGUAAUCUAUAGAAACGUUUUCCGUG
Molecule: ribosomal RNA, 172 nt
Filed under: uncultured fungus
Lineage: Eukaryota; Fungi
Description: partial 28S ribosomal RNA
Rfam family: Eukaryotic large subunit ribosomal RNA
Source: RNAcentral